This is a ribosomal RNA of Halothece sp. PCC 7418, 117 nucleotides long. The record is from Rfam. Lineage: Bacteria; Bacillati; Cyanobacteriota; Cyanophyceae; Chroococcales; Halothecacae.
CCUGGUGCUCAAGGCGCGGUGGAACCACCCCGACCCAUCCCGAACUCGGUGGUGAAACGCUGCAGCGGCGAAGAUACUUGACGGGUCACUGUCUGGGAAAAUAGCUCGGUGCCAGGU